CCCUUAUGACCUGGGCUACACACGUGCUACAAUGGGCAGUACAACGAGAAGCGAACCCGCGAGGGUAAGCGGAUCUCUUAAAGCUGUUCUCAGUUCGGACUGCAGGCUGCAACUCGCCUGCACGAAGCUGGAAUCGCUAGUAAUCGCGGAUCAGCACGCCGCGGUGAAUACGUUCCCGGGCCUUGUACACACCGCCCGUCACACCAUGGAAGUCUGCAAUGCCCAAAGUCGGUGGGAUAACCUUUAUAGGAGUCAGCCGCCUAAGGCAGGGCAGAUGACUGGGGUGAAGUCGUAACAAGGUAGCCGUAGGAGAACCUGCGGCUGGAUCACCUCCUUUCUAAGGAA
RNAcentral lists this ribosomal RNA (345 nucleotides) under Lactobacillus delbrueckii subsp. bulgaricus. Its description in RNAcentral is "bacterial SSU rRNA". It matches the Rfam family "Bacterial small subunit ribosomal RNA", at positions 1199 to 1533 of the family's 1533-position model. Lineage: Bacteria; Bacillati; Bacillota; Bacilli; Lactobacillales; Lactobacillaceae. The record is from RNAcentral.